Molecule: non-coding RNA, 123 nt
Organism: Caenorhabditis elegans
Lineage: Eukaryota; Metazoa; Nematoda; Chromadorea; Rhabditida; Rhabditidae
Source: Ensembl
AUGGAGGGUGAUGAAGAAGGUGGUCUCUGGGAAGAGGGGGGCAUAGAGACAGCCGUUUGGGUGCGGGCGAAAAAAAGAGACAUCUCGUCCGUGUCGGUGUGGAAAGGGGGUAGCCGGGUGGCC